UUUGUAGAGUGCGGUAGUUGU
RNAcentral lists this unclassified non-coding RNA (21 nucleotides) under Chlamydomonas reinhardtii. RNAcentral's name for it is "small RNA Cre_4161". The record is from RNAcentral. Lineage: Eukaryota; Viridiplantae; Chlorophyta; Chlorophyceae; Chlamydomonadales; Chlamydomonadaceae.